AACGCACAUUGCGCCCUGUGGUAUUCCACAGGGCAUGCCUGUUUGAGCGUCAUUUCUCCUUCAAACUUCUAGUUUGGAUUUGGGCUUGGGGAAGCUUUAUACCCAGCCUGAAAUAGUGGGUGAAACAUAUGUCUAUUAGGUUUUACACAAUGAGUUAGGUUCUGCCAGUUCGUUGAAUAAAAUCUAUGUGAAGAUGCUUCAAUAACAACCCAUUUUAUACCCCCCCAAAUUUGACCUCAAAUCAGGUAGGACUACCCGCUGAACUUAA
This 268-nucleotide unclassified non-coding RNA is filed under the name uncultured Barnettozyma. RNAcentral's name for it is "sequence contains ITS2". The stretch from base 1 to 52 matches the Rfam family "5.8S ribosomal RNA", at positions 103 to 154 of the family's 154-position model. Lineage: Eukaryota; Fungi; Ascomycota; Saccharomycetes; Phaffomycetales; Phaffomycetaceae. The record is from RNAcentral.